Molecule: ribosomal RNA, 497 nt
Filed under: uncultured bacterium
Lineage: Bacteria
Description: partial 16S ribosomal RNA
Rfam family: Bacterial small subunit ribosomal RNA
Source: RNAcentral
GAUGAACGCUGGCGGCGUGCCUAAUACAUGCGAGUCGAGCGAACGGACGAGAAGCUUGCUUCUCUGAUGUUAGCGGCGGACGGGUGAGUAACACGUGGAUAACCUACCUAUAAGACUGGGAUAACUUCGGGAAACCGUAGCUAAUACCGGAUAAUAUUUUGAACCGCAUGGUUCAAAAGUGAAAGACGGUCUUGCUGUCACUUAUAGAUGGAUCCGCGCUGCAUUAGCUAGUUGGUAAGGUAACGGCUUACCAAGGCAACGAUGCAUAGCCGACCUGAGAGAGUGAUCGGCCACCCUGGAACUGAGACACGGUCCAGACUCCUACGGGAGGCAGCAGUAGGGAAUCUUCCGCAAUGGGCGAAAGCCUGACGGAGCAACGCCGCGUGAGUGAUGAAGGUCUUCGGAUCGUAAAACUCUGUUAUUAGGGAAGAACAUAUGUGUAAGUAACUGUGCACAUCUUGACGGUACCUAAUCAGAAAGCCACGGCUAACUACGUG